Molecule: ribosomal RNA, 484 nt
Filed under: uncultured bacterium
Lineage: Bacteria
Description: partial 16S ribosomal RNA
Rfam family: Bacterial small subunit ribosomal RNA
Source: RNAcentral
AUUGAACGCUGGCGGCAGGCUUAACACAUGCAAGUCGAGCGGGGAAAGGGAGCUUGCUCCCGGACCUAGCGGCGGACGGGUGAGUAAUGCCUAGGAAUCUGCCUAUUAGUGGGGGACAACAUCUCGAAAGGGAUGCUAAUACCGCAUACGUCCUGCGGGAGAAAGCGGGGGACCUUCGGGCCUCGCGCUAUCAGAUGAGCCUAAGUCGGAUUAGCUAGUUGGUGGGGUAAAGGCCUACCAAGGCGACGAUCCGUAACUGGUCUGAGAGGAUGACCCGCCACCUGGGAACGGGGCACCGCCCCGGACUCUACCGGGGGCAACCGGGGGGGAUUUUUGGCCAAGGGGGGAAAGCUGGAUCAGGCAAGCCGGGUGGGGUGAAGAGGGUUUUUGGAUGUUAAACACCUUUAGCGAGGGGGAGAGUGCAGUGAGUUAUACCCUUGCUUUGUGGACGUUACUCGCAGAAUAAGCACCGGCUAACUCCGUG